This 402-nucleotide ribosomal RNA is filed under the name uncultured bacterium. RNAcentral describes it as "bacterial SSU rRNA". It matches the Rfam family "Bacterial small subunit ribosomal RNA", at positions 355 to 774 of the family's 1533-position model. The record is from RNAcentral.
UCGGGAAUUUUGGGCAAUAGGCGAAAGCCUGACCCAGCAACGCCGCGUGAGGGAUGAAGUAUUUCGGUAUGUAAACCUCGAAAGAAUGGGAAGAAUAAAUGACGGUACCAUUUAUAAGCUCCGGCUAACUACGUGCCAGCAGCCGCGGUAAUACGUAGGGAGCAAGCGUUGUUCGGAUUUACUGGGCGUAAAGGGCGCGUAGGCGGCGCGGUAAGUCACUUGUGAAAUCUCUGAGCUUAACUCAGAACGGCCAAGUGAUACUGCUGUGCUAGAGUGCGGAAGAGGCAACCGGAAUUCUUGGUGUAGCGGUGAAAUGCGUAGAUAUCAAGAGGAACACCUGAGGCGAAGGCGGGUUGCUGGGCCGACACUGACGCUGAUGCGCGAAAGCCAGGGGAGCAAACG